Molecule: ribosomal RNA, 447 nt
Filed under: uncultured bacterium
Lineage: Bacteria
Description: bacterial SSU rRNA
Rfam family: Bacterial small subunit ribosomal RNA
Source: RNAcentral
UUCCAGACUCCUACGGGAGGCAGCAGUAGGGAAUAUUGCUCAAUGGGGGAAACCCUGAAGCAGCAACGCCGCGUGGAGGAUGAAGGUUUUCGGAUUGUAAACUCCUUUUGUUAGAGAAGAUAAUGACGGUAUCUAACGAAUAAGCACCGGCUAACUCCGUGCCAGCAGCCGCGGUAAUACGGAGGAUGCGAGCGUUAUCCGGAUUUAUUGGGUUUAAAGGGUGCGUAGGCGGGAUGCCAAGUCAGCGGUAAAAAUGCGGUGCUCAACGCCGUCGAGCCGUUGAAACUGGCGUUCUUGAGUGGGCGAGAAGUAUGCGGAAUGCGUGGUGUAGCGGUGAAAUGCAUAGAUAUCACGCAGAACUCCGAUUGCGAAGGCAGCAUACCGGCGCCCUACUGACGCUGAGGCACGAAAGCGUGGGUAUCGAACAGGAUUAGAUACCCCGGUACG